CUGAAUUGUCAAACACGGGUUGUUGCUGGUCUUCAAACGGGGACAUGUGCACGCUCUGUUUACACAUCCAUUCACACCUGUGCACCCUCUGUAGUUCUAUGGUCUGGGGGACAUCGUCUUCCUUCCGUAGCGCUGCAUCUUUACACAUACGCUGUAACAAAGUCCUAUGGAAUGUGUGCCGCGUUUAACGCAAUACAAUA
Molecule: unclassified non-coding RNA, 200 nt
Filed under: uncultured Tomentella
Lineage: Eukaryota; Fungi; Basidiomycota; Agaricomycetes; Thelephorales; Thelephoraceae
Description: sequence contains ITS1
Source: RNAcentral